GACGAACGCUGGCGGCGUGCUUAGCACAUGCCAGUCGAACGGAAAGGCCCUGCUUUUGUGGGGUGCUCGAGUGGCGAACGGGUGAGUAACACGUGAGUAACCUGCCCUUGACUUUGGGAUAACUUCAGGAAACUGGGGCUAAUACCGGAUAGGAGCUCCUGCUGCAUGGUGGGGGUUGGAAAGUUUCGGCGGUUGGGGAUGGACUCGCGGCUUAUCAGCUUGUUGGUGGGGUAGUGGCUUACCAAGGCUUUGACGGGUAGCCGGCCUGGGAGGGUGACCGGCCACAUUGGGACUGAGAGACGGCCCAGACUCCUACGGGAGGCAGCAGUGGGGAAUAUUGCACAAUGGGCGGAAGCCUGAUGCAGCAACGCCGCGUGCGGGAUGACGGCCUUCGGGUUGUAAACCGCUUUCGCCUGUGACGAAGCGUGAGUGACGGUAAUGGGUAAAGAAGCACCGGCUAACUACGUG
This 468-nucleotide ribosomal RNA is filed under the name uncultured bacterium. Its description in RNAcentral is "partial 16S ribosomal RNA". It matches the Rfam family "Bacterial small subunit ribosomal RNA", at positions 28 to 507 of the family's 1533-position model. The record is from RNAcentral.